This 1631-nucleotide long non-coding RNA is filed under the name Helianthus annuus (common sunflower). RNAcentral describes it as "hypothetical non coding rna". The record is from RNAcentral. Lineage: Eukaryota; Viridiplantae; Streptophyta; Magnoliopsida; Asterales; Asteraceae.
GAUGAAAGUUGAGUGUUUCUAAAAUCGGCUGCAAUGUCUUCACAACGAAGUUUUCUACUCAAUAUAAUUGGUAGUAGUGUUGAGGUGAAAUUUAUUUGAUUUUAUCGUUCACUAGUUUGAAUAUUUGUUUACUUAUACAUUCCUGAAAUUCUUUGAUACCUCCUUACCUUUUCAAACUCCACAUACACCAUGAUAUUGAUAAUUCAAUUAAUUACUACAACCUCACAUCAUCUUUAAAUAGAGUUGAUAUGUCUGGGUACUUGUUAUAUCUUUUUAUUUAUGAGGACAACUAUUGAGAUGUAAUAUGAGGCUGUGGUAAUUUAAUGAAUUUACAAUAUUGCAUUAUCGAAUUUGUGGAGUUUGAAAACAGUAAGAAGUAUAAAAGAACUUCAGUCAUGUAUAACAAAACAAAUAUUUAAAAGUAGUGGAACGAAGAAAUCAUAUAAAUUUUACGUCAACACUACAACAAAUUGUUUUAACUAGUUGAAUUACUCACACGUUACGACGAGUCUCCGGUAGAUUUUGUUUCACUUGUUACAUUUUCGGUACGAUAUACACACUCGGUAUAAAAAUUGUAAUAGAUAUGUCCUAGAUGAAAUCUAUCCGUGUUUUACAUUGAUCGAAAAACGUAAAAACGAAUGCCAGCACAACACUUUUCUUGACGCGCAAGAGCAUGGCAAACAUUGCAUUUGUGUGUCAUGGCACACUUUGAUGACAUACGUUUACGACACUCGUUUUCGACACACGUUUAUGACACUCGUUUAAGACACACAUUUAUGACACAUAUUUUGACGUUCAUUUACGCAUGUCAUACUUUUAAUUAUUUAAAAACAUUAUAGAAUUACUAAUUUACCAUGGAUACAUAUAUAAUAACAAAAACAAUAAAUUCAUUUCAUAAUGAAAUACAUACAUACAUAUAUAUACACACACACUAACACCAAAAUAACCCGUUGUAUAAUCAUUUGUCAAGUAUACUACAAAUAUUUUAACCUGAAUAAAAAUAUUGUUUGUCGAAACAUUCUUAUCGACACCUAAAAUAAUUGUUUGUCACCUAAAAUUAAAGGUUGCCUCAAAACUUGACCCUAUUUCGCGAACUCCAUCAAUAUCCGCAUUCGUGUAAUCAUCUUUCCCUCCCCCACCCUGGAAAAAAUUAAAUAAAAGAAAUCUUAAAUCAACACUCAAAUACUUUGUUAUUUUUUAAAGAAAAUCUUAUAGCAAAAGCAACAAACAGAACAAAGGAUCUAUUAUUUAUUAAUCUUUAUUGUUGUAUACAAUACACCCCUUAUUUUGUACUUAUCAAAAUUCAAAGGAUCUUUAUUGCUGCAUACAAUACACCCCUUAUUUUGUACUUAUCAAAAUUCAAAGGAUAACUAAGACAUCUGACUACAGUUAAAGACUUUGUUAAAACUGUGUCUAGUAAACUGUAAACUAGAAGAAUUAUCUAGGAUAGAGGUAAUAUUGUGUACAUAUAAGCAUUAAUGUUGAGAGAUAGAAUUCGUCUAUAAACAUAUGUUACCAAAACCAAAACCUGAUUAGAAGUUUGAUAAUUACCAAAAGGCUUUAACUGAGUUUAUCACCCAUUCAAGUUCAAACCAAAACCUGAAUAUUGAAAUUGGUUUGGCCUCUAAAAU